UGGGGAAUCUUGCACAAUGCGCGAAAGCGUGAUGCAGCAACGCCGCGUGAGGGAAGACGGCCUUCGGGUUGUAAACCUCUUUCAGUUGGGACGAAGGUCGGGCGGUUAAUAGCCGUUCCGACUGACGGUACCUUCACAAGAAGCCCCGGCUAACUACGUGCCAGCAGCCGCGGUAAUACGUAGGGGGCAAGCGUUGUCCGGAAUCAUUGGGCGUAAAGAGCGUGUAGGCGGCUUGAUAAGUCGGCUGUGAAAGUCGGGGGCUCAACCCUCGAAUGCCGGUCGAUACUGUCAAGCUAGAGUCCGGAAGAGGCGAGUGGAAUUCCUGGUGUAGCGGUGAAAUGCGCAGAUAUCAGGAGGAACACCAAUGGCGAAGGCAGCUCGCUGGGACGGUACUGACGCUGAGACGCGAAAGCGUGGGGAGCAAACAGG
Molecule: ribosomal RNA, 429 nt
Filed under: uncultured bacterium
Lineage: Bacteria
Description: bacterial SSU rRNA
Rfam family: Bacterial small subunit ribosomal RNA
Source: RNAcentral